UCUAGAUUUGGCGAUUUUUGUAGGAUUUGAAGUGGCUAGGGUUAGGUUAGGUUUUGGGUUGGAAUGGUGGUUGAUGUUAAUGGAAAUGUAGAAGUUAUGAAUUGUGCCAUAUGGUCGAAGUUUUGUUUCUAAAAUUUAUUUUGAUAUUUGAUUUAGAACGAUGGUGCACCAUCCGCGGUAUCCACUCCUUGAGAUGUUCUACGAUGAGCACCACCGUGGGAGGAAGCUUGAAGAGCGUGUAGAGGUUUUGAACCCUUUACGACCCCGCACUCACACUCCUCUAGAGUGGGAUGAUAGGUACACCCCGUACCUUCGACGGGCGGGUUUCCUCCUGCUUGCAACAUUGGUGAAGGCGGGGCUACCGAAGGCGGAUAAUGCUGCCCUAACAGUGCUAGUCGACCGGUUUCCACCUUCCCUCCGAUGAGAUGACAAUCACACUUGAGGACGUAUCCAUGCUUUUUGGGCUUCGUGUGGACGGGCGAGUGGUGACUGGGAACAUAAAUCUGGUUGGAUGGAGGGACACAUGCAUUUGUUGCUUGGAGUCCGGUCUGAAGAUCCUCCUCAGGAUGUGAAGGAUAGGAAAACUAUAGGAGUGAGUUCAGCUUAGCUGGUCCAGCACUUUUGCAUCGCCCACCUGCUACUACUCAGGAGGGAGUUGUUGCUAGGUACGCCUGUGCAUGGUUGCGGCAUAUGGUGUCUGGGUUCCUAUUCCCCGAUUCUAGUGGGAACACCAUUUCUUAGAUGUGGCUACCAAUCAUUGGGCAAGAGUGGGAGAACAUUCGAACUUAUAGCUAGGGGACUGCAACUCUUGCAUGGUUGUAUCGUCAGAUGUGUGAUGCCUGCAGGAGGGCUGGGGCUAAUGCUAAUCUUGGUGGAUGUGCCUACCUUCUCCAAUUGUGGAUGUGGGAGUGCCUUCCAAUAGAUUGGCUAGAACGCCACACAUAUGGUAUGUACGUACUAUGCAACCCAAUAUAACUUGUUUCCAAGUAUUUGUUAUUUUAGCAA
Molecule: long non-coding RNA, 1005 nt
Organism: Setaria italica (foxtail millet)
Lineage: Eukaryota; Viridiplantae; Streptophyta; Magnoliopsida; Poales; Poaceae
Exons: 2
Source: RefSeq, a predicted model, not a curated record